RNAcentral lists this non-coding RNA (31 nucleotides) under Rattus norvegicus (Norway rat). Lineage: Eukaryota; Metazoa; Chordata; Mammalia; Rodentia; Muridae. The record is from RNAcentral.
UGGGCCUUCUAAGAAACAGAAGUGUGUCUGC